This 491-nucleotide ribosomal RNA is filed under the name uncultured bacterium. Its description in RNAcentral is "partial 16S ribosomal RNA". It matches the Rfam family "Bacterial small subunit ribosomal RNA", at positions 29 to 507 of the family's 1533-position model. The record is from RNAcentral.
AGUGAACGCUGGCGGUAGGCCAACACAUGCAAGUCGAACGGCAGCACAGUAAGAGCUUGCUCUUACGGGUGGCGAGUGGCGGACGGGUGAGGAAUACAUCGGAAUCUACUUUUUCGUGGGGGAUAACGUAGGGAAACUUACGCUAAUACCGCAUACGACCUACGGGUGAAAGCAGGGGAUCUUCGGACCUUGCGCGAUUGAAUGAGCCGAUGUCGGAUUAGCUAGUUGGCGGGGUAAAGGCCCACCAAGGCGACGAUCCGUAGCUGGUCUGAGAGGAUGAUCAGCCACACUGGAACUGAGACACGGUCCAGACUCCUACGGGAGGCAGCAGUGGGGAAUAUUGGACAAUGGGCGCAAGCCUGAUCCAGCCAUACCGCGUGGGUGAAGAAGGCCUUCGGGUUGUAAAGCCCUUUUGUUGGGAAAGAAAAGCAGCAGGUUAAUACCUCGCUGUUCUGACGGUACCCAAGGAAUAAGCACCGGCUAACUUCGUG